GGGGAAUAUUGCGCAAUGGGGGCAACCCUGACGCAGCCAUGCCGCGUGAAUGAAGAAGGCCUUCGGGUUGUAAAGUUCUUUCGGUAGCGAGGAAGGCAUUUAGUUUAAUAAACUAGGUGAUUGACGUUAACUACAGAAGAAGCACCGGCUAACUCCGUGCCAGCAGCCGCGGUAAUACGGAGGGUGCGAGCGUUAAUCGGAAUAACUGGGCGUAAAGGGCACGCAGGCGGUGACUUAAGUGAGGUGUGAAAGCCCCGGGCUUAACCUGGGAAUUGCAUUUCAUACUGGGUCGCUAGAGUACUUUAGGGAGGGGUAGAAUUCCACGUGUAGCGGUGAAAUGCGUAGAGAUGUGGAGGAAUACCGAAGGCGAAGGCAGCCCCUUGGGAAUGUACUGACGCUCAUGUGCGAAAGCGUGGGGAGCAAACAGGAUUAGAUACCCUGGUAGUCCACGCUGUAAACGAUGUCGAUUUGGGGGUUGAGCUUUGAGUUUGGCGCCCGUAGCUAACGUGAUAAAUCGACCGCCUGGGGAGUACGGCCGCAAGGUUA
This 546-nucleotide ribosomal RNA is filed under the name uncultured bacterium. RNAcentral describes it as "bacterial SSU rRNA". It matches the Rfam family "Bacterial small subunit ribosomal RNA", at positions 356 to 896 of the family's 1533-position model. The record is from RNAcentral.